AGUGAACGCUGGCGGUAGGCCUAACACAUGCAAGUCGAACGGCAGCACAGUAAGAGCUUGCUCUUACGGGUGGCGAGUGGCGGACGGGUGAGGAAUACAUCGGAAUCUACUUUUUCGUGGGGGAUAACGUAGGGAAACUUACGCUAAUACCGCAUACGACCUACGGGUGAAAGCAGGGGAUCUUCGGACCUUGCGCGAUUGAAUGAGCCGAUGUCGGAUUAGCUAGUUGGCGGGGUAAAGGCCCACCAAGGCGACGAUCCGUAGCUGGUCUGAGAGGAUGGUCAGCCACACUGGAACUGAGACACGGUCCAGACUCCUACGGGAGGCAGCAGUGGGGAAUAUUGGACAAUGGGCGCAAGCCUGAUCCAGCCAUACCGCGUGGGUGAAGAAGGCCUUCGGGUUGUAAAGCCCUUUUGUUGGGAAAGAAAAGCAGCAGGUUAAAACCCCGCUGUUCUGACGGUACCCAAAGAAUAAGCACCGGCUAACUUCGUG
This 492-nucleotide ribosomal RNA is filed under the name uncultured bacterium. RNAcentral describes it as "partial 16S ribosomal RNA". It matches the Rfam family "Bacterial small subunit ribosomal RNA", at positions 29 to 507 of the family's 1533-position model. The record is from RNAcentral.